Molecule: long non-coding RNA, 393 nt
Filed under: Gossypium barbadense (sea-island cotton)
Lineage: Eukaryota; Viridiplantae; Streptophyta; Magnoliopsida; Malvales; Malvaceae
Description: long non-coding RNA (GBAR_LNC003773)
Source: RNAcentral
GUCGACCACAUUCCUGCUGCCGGUGAUGAUUGUUUUAGUUCUCCCGUCUCCGAUGAACAUUAUGUUGCUCUUCUUCUUUGGGACUUCCACGUUUUCUAUGUAGACGCCUGCUUUGAUUCUAAUAAUAUACCUUUUGCUGCUUUUCUCCGGUGCUUUGGCGACCGCUUCCGACACCGUUUUGAAGUUCCCGCUACCAUCGGCCGCCACAACCACGUUGGGGGUCACCGAAGACGACUGAAGCAGGCGCCUGUCGCCAGCGGACAACCACUCUGGCCAGGCAAUGCCGCUUUCGUCCUCCUUCAGCUUCCUGUUCGAUGACUUGAGCAUCAUCUCGUUUGCAAUAUCAGUGUCCGUCAUGUUCUUGAUCAUGGCAAGCGCAUUACUGCACAUCUU